GGUCCGAUGGUGUAGUUGGUUAUCACUUCUGUCUAACAAUCGCCCUUUAUCUGCUAUGGCCGGUAAAAAGAUUUGCAUUGUUCACAGGCGGUCCUCAGUUCGAACCUGGGUCGGAUCA
Favolaschia claudopus is the source of this 118-nucleotide non-coding RNA. The record is from the annotation of a GenBank genome assembly. NCBI's taxonomy places the organism in Eukaryota, Fungi, Basidiomycota, Agaricomycetes, Agaricales, Mycenaceae.